This 446-nucleotide ribosomal RNA is filed under the name uncultured bacterium. Its description in RNAcentral is "bacterial SSU rRNA". It matches the Rfam family "Bacterial small subunit ribosomal RNA", at positions 29 to 522 of the family's 1533-position model. The record is from RNAcentral.
AACGAACGCUGGCGGCAGGCUUAACACAUGCAAGUCGAACGCCCCGCAAGGGGAGUGGCGCACGGGUGAGUAACGCGUGGGAAUAUGCCCUUCGGUUCGGAAUAACACAGGGAAACUUGUGCUAAUACCGGAUACGAUCUGCGGAUGAAAGAUUUAUCGCCGAGGGAGUAGCCCGCGUAGGAUUAGCUAGUUGGUGAGGUAAUGGCUCACCAAGGCGACGAUCCUUAGCUGGUCUGAGAGGAUGAUCAGCCACACUGGGACUGAGACACGGCCCAGACUCCUACGGGAGGCAGCAGUGGGGAAUAUUGGACAAUGGGCGAAGCCUGAUCCAGCCAAGCCGCGUGAGUGAUGAAGGCCUUAGGGUUGUAAAGCUCUUUCGCCAGGGAAGAUAAUGACGGUACCUGGAAAAGAAGACCUCGGCUAACUUCGUGCCAGCAGCCGCGGUU